Acinonyx jubatus (cheetah) is the source of this 3241-nucleotide long non-coding RNA. RefSeq lists it as uncharacterized. The record is from RefSeq and is a predicted model, not a curated record. Lineage: Eukaryota; Metazoa; Chordata; Mammalia; Carnivora; Felidae. The transcript is spliced from 3 exons.
UGCUGUAAGGGCAAGCCCGCCCCACGUGGUGGCCUCCGGCCGCAGAAGCCACGUCACCCUCUGUGCGCCGCAUGGCUGGCCUGCUGGGUGGCCUGGCCACUCCGUGCACGGGGAGGGGUGACAUGGAUUUGCUGACUCGGUGGCCUCACCGCCGCCCACCAGAAGCGCACCAGUGUCCCUUUCUCCCUCUCCCCACAAAGGGAAACCUGGUCUGCUCUUGUCUAAGGCAGCCGCCCUCAGCCCAGCUGCGGCACCCCGCCCAUCCCGGGGUCAUGCGCCACCACGUGCCACCCGGUCAGCGGCCCGGGAUGAGGCCCCCUGCUCGCCGGCCUCUGACUCCAAAAGCAAGUUUCUGCCCCUUGGCAGGCAGAGGAAGGGCUGGAUGGUUCUUGGAGAUCAAGCCACAUGCCUGCCCGAAUGGAAUGCCCCAUCCUGGCGUGUUCAUCAGGGAUGAAACGUAUGUUUCAGAAUGCUCUUUUGCCUUUCCGCACAAGGGGAGAGCACAGCCUUGAUGGCCGUCGGGGCCUGUGGCUCUCCUCAUCAGCAUCAGUCUGUGUCGGCCCAGGCCCCGCGCACCUGCCCGUGACCUUGGGCACCUGGCUUCCUGCCCCCAGCCUUCAGCAUCAAGCAGAUGUAAAAUUCAUGUCCACAAAGAUGAUGAUGUUUUUGAGGUUUAAAUGAGUGAAUGAUUGCUACAAAUAAAGAGAACUAGUAAAAAUAAUAACAGGCAGAUUCUAAUCCUUUCCUGUGCCUUUGUCGUCAGGUCUUGGAGCCUAGGAUAUCAAGCAAGCUAUGUUCAUCUUCCAUGAACUCCACAGAUUGGCCCCUGCACACAAGCUUGGCUUUCCAGAUGCGGGAGGAUGAGGGUCGUGGGCCCGUGAUGCUGGGGGGACAGAACGCCGGGAUACGGGACGAUGAGGGUCGUGGGCCCUUGAUGCUGGGGGGACCGGGCGCCGGGAUGUGGUGGUGUUUGUUCUCUGCACUUCCUGUGUCUUGUCGGGUCGUUUGCUGUCUUACUUCAGAGAUUCAUUUUGCCCCAUUCUCUCCUCCUGCUCCAACCGCAUGCGUGUCCCUGGGUGUCUGGGCCUCUGUCCUCUUCAUUCUUUUGCAUCUGGAAAGUUCCUAUUGACCUCCCGUCGGGCUCCCUGAUUCUUUCCUGGGAUGUGUCAAGUCAGCUCCUGAGGUACUUCUUUUGUGUCACCGUGUUUUGAGCCCUGGUGUCCCUCCCUCUCCCCCCUGCCCCCGUGUGUAUACACAUGGCACUCAUCUGCCUGAUGACGACCCCUUGGCAUUGCAGUCCGUCCCUUUUCCCCACUAGAGACCCUCACGCGUGCGUCACACUUGCACCCCGUGCCUCGUACGGUCACUCCGACUGUGUCCUCUGGCUCUGGUUCUCAUGAUCGCUGUGUGUCUUCGGAGUGUGGCUUCUCCUGCCCUUCGGCUCGCCUGAUUCGUUCUUGUUGGACGUCACACGCGUGGAGCAGGGCCGUGGGCUCAGGGCACUGUGCUGUGUGGCUGGAGCUCUGUCAUCUCAGCCCCGGGGCCUGUGCUUUGCUCCCCACACUCUGCGUCCUGCCACCUCCGACUGACCCUCUGUCCCCGCGCUGAGGGGCUGGUCUGUAACCUUCUGACUGACCCUGCCUUCCCGUGGGCUGCGUGUUGGGGGGUGUUUCUGUGCCCCUCCAGGAGACCCCAGCCCCCAUUCCCCUGCCAUCCACAGCGUCCCCCUUCUAUUCCUGUCCCCCAUGGACAUUUUAUCCCUUUUACUUCUCCCCAGGGAAGGAGAGGUUUCUGUGUCUCCUCGGGUAAGCUCUGUCCCCUGGGAUGCUGCAGACAUGGUCUGGGAGGCCGCUCCAUGUCCUGUCCCUGUCCCAACCCUUUUGGAGCCACAAGGCCACGAGAGCUUGGCCCAGUGCGGUGGCCCAUCCGCAUCACUGGUACUGUUCCUACCCCUCGUGGUUUCUGCGGCCGGUGAGUAGCCCUCAGCUGCUGUCCCCCUCUGAUCUCAGGGUGUGCUUGCCCCGUGGCCCUGGUUCUCUGACGGUUGACACUUGUCCCCCAGAACCGGGAUGUGGGGGCUGCACUGAUGGACGAUGUGCAGAGUCCCCAUUUUCACGGGGCCUGACAGCGGAGAACUAAGAAGGAAGAAAAGUCAGCGAGUGGCUCACGAGUUAAGGCUGUGAUGGGACGUGCUACCCGUGGGAAACGGUGGAAAUUGCAGAUCCCCAGGCAGCGUCUGCUGUAGGCAGGUUCUGGGGGAGGCUAAGCUGAGCCGUGAGGGACAGACAGACCUGGUGCAGCGAGGGGGCUGCAGGGGCAGAGAGGGAGCUGUUCUGCACAGCCACUGGCGGCCGGAGGCGGAUUCUCGCGUAAAGUCCUCGCGCAGGGACUCGUCUGAUGACCCUGUGAUGGGCCGAACGGUGUCCUCUAACUUCGGUUUCUGAAGUCCCCAGCACCUCAGAAUAUGGCUGCAUUUGGAGAUGGGGCCUUUAAAGAGGUGACUGAGGUUAAGCGAGGUCAUCAGGCUGGACCCUGGUCCCAUCUGACUGGUGUCCUCAGGGGAGACGUCUGGACACAGGCAAGGGGUCGGUCGCCAGGCAAGGGUGAGGGCGGUUGCCCACAAGCCAAGUGGAGAGGCUUCAGGGGAGACCAGACCCGCGGCCUCCAGAACCGGGAGAGCCGCUGGAUGAGCCACUGGAUGUGGACACGGUGGACGUGGCACUUGGGAAGUCCCGUCGUCCGGCCAGGACUCCCGACCCGGCUGGAGUGUGGCCUCUGGCAUUGCCUGAGCCUCUGGUGCUGACCCUGGCUGGUUCAGGAGCCCUACGGGGGCACCGUCAACUGUGUGGAGACCCUUGCGCCCAGGUGUGUGGGGUGUGGACGGCAGGGAGUGGGGGGAGGCAGAGGCCCGAGCCCAGGAAGCCUCCCCCCCGAGCCGCUGAGAUUGGUCAGGAGGUGUGGAUGGUCCUGCCCGCGCUCCUGCUGGCCCCUGAGUGUCGGGUUUGUGGGUCUUCAUUUUACUGUGAAAUGUGACUGUGUUUGGUAAAAUGUACACUUUAUGCUGCUUUCAGAGUUAUUUGCUUCCAGGAAGAGGCAGCAAGGUCCUGCAGCAGGACUGUACUGAAGGGGUCUGAUAGGAGGCCUGGGAAGGUCACUCCUUCCGUCAGCCCGGUGGGCUUCUCUGGGGCCAGCUGAGCCCUAGGUGGGAGGGGUGCGGCGGGGGCACUCUGGGGGGCAUCGG